CGUCGAGCUACUACGGUAGUGAAGUCAUUGAUGCCAUGCUUCCAGGAAAAGCCUCUAAGCUUCAGAUUGUAAGGAAUCGUACCCCAAACCGACACAGGUGGUCGGGUAGAGAAUACCAAGGCGCUUGAGAGAACUCGGGUGAAGGAACUAGGCAAAAUGGUACCGUAACUUCGGGAGAAGGUACGCUCUUGAUGGUGAAGUCCCUUGCGGAUGGAGCUGACGAGAGUCGCAGAUACCAGGUGGCUGCAACUGUUUAUUAAAAACACAGCACUGUGCAAAAUCGUAAGAUGACGUAUACGGUGUGACGCCUGCCCGGUGCCGGAAGGUUAAUUGAUGGGGUUAGCGUAAGCGAAGCUCUUGAUCGAAGCCCCGGUAAACGGCGGCCGUAACUAUAACGGUCCUAAGGUAGCGAAAUUCCUUGUCGGGUAAGUUCCGACCUGCACGAAUGGCGUAAUGAUGGCCACGCUGUCUCCACCCGAGACUCAGUGAAAUUGAAAUCGCUGUGAAGAUGCAGUGUACCCGCGGCUAGACGGAAAGACCCCGUGAACCUUUACUACAGCUUGGCACUGAACAUUGAACCUACAUGUGUAGGAUAGGUGGGAGGCUUUGAAGACGUGACGCCAGUUGCGUUGGAGCCGUCCUUGAAAUACCACCCUUGUAUGUUUGAUGUUCUAACGUUGGCCCCUAAUCGGGGUUGCGGACAGUGCCUGGUGGGUAGUUUGACUGGGGCGGUCUCCUCCCAAAGAGUAACGGAGGAGCACGAAGGUGGGCUAAUCACGGUUGGACAUCGUGAGGUUAGUGCAAUGGCAUAAGCCCGCUUAACUGCGAGAAUGACGGUUCGAGCAGGUGCGAAAGCAGGUCAUAGUGAUCCGGUGGUUCUGAAUGGAAGGGCCAUCGCUCAACGGAUAAAAGGUACUCCGGGGAUAACAGGCUGAUACCGCCCAAGAGUUCAUAUCGACGGCGGUGUUUGGCACCUCGAUGUCGGCUCAUCACAUCCUGGGGCUGAAGUCGGUCCCAAGGGUAUGGCUGUUCGCCAUUUAAAGUGGUACGCGAGCUGGGUUUAGAACGUCGUGAGACAGUUCGGUCCCUAUCUGCCGUGGGCGUUGGAAGAUUGAAGGGGGCUGCUCCUAGUACGAGAGGACCGGAGUGGACGAACCUCUGGUGUUCGGGUUGUGUCGCCAGACGCAUUGCCCGGUAGCUAAGUUCGGAAUCGAUAACCGCUGAAAGCAUCUAAGCGGGAAGCGAGCCCUGAGAUGAGUCUUCCCUGAUACUUUAAGUAUCCUGAAGGGUUGUUCGAGACUAGAACGUUGAUAGGCAGGGUGUGUAAGCGCUGUGAGGCGUUGAGCUAACCUGUACUAAUUGCCCGUGAG
Molecule: ribosomal RNA, 1370 nt
Filed under: Vibrio vulnificus
Lineage: Bacteria; Pseudomonadati; Pseudomonadota; Gammaproteobacteria; Vibrionales; Vibrionaceae
Description: partial 23S ribosomal RNA
Rfam family: Bacterial large subunit ribosomal RNA
Source: RNAcentral